UUACAUGUCUCACCCACGCCUCACCAGGACUAAACAGCGUGGUAAAACAAGAGUCCUUCAUACCCACUCUGGAGGGUAGAGUGGGAAUACUAUACCCA
Molecule: non-coding RNA, 98 nt
Filed under: unclassified sequences
Description: PhotoRC-II RNA
Rfam family: PhotoRC-II RNA
Source: RNAcentral